This is a long non-coding RNA of Chiroxiphia lanceolata (lance-tailed manakin), 122 nucleotides long. RefSeq lists it as uncharacterized. The record is from RefSeq and is a predicted model, not a curated record. The transcript is spliced from 3 exons. Lineage: Eukaryota; Metazoa; Chordata; Aves; Passeriformes; Pipridae.
AAUCACAGAAUUGUUAACGUUGGAAGGGACCUCUGGAGAUCAUCCAGUCCAACCCCUCUGCCAAGGCAGGGUUGCCUGGAGCAGAUGACACAGGAACGUGUCCUGCGUUGUGGCAAUCCAUC